UCUUCGAGAUUAUGAAACGGUAUGUUUACAGUAAGUGGGAAGGAUCAAAAAGUUUUAAGUUUUAUGGAAAUUUCUUGGGCGAAUUCAUUAACUGGAAUGUCAACUGAUUCCGAAUUGACCAAACCUUCCAAUGAAAGAAAUCGAAGGAAGCGUGUUAUUUGGGUGUCUUCUUGCUGUUCGUUUUAGCUCCGUCUUCGGAUCAGUAACAUGAUUUUCAGUCUUGAUGUAAGGAAAUAACCUCGUUGAGGAUCUCACUAGAAAGAAAACAGGAAGAAUUUUUACAAAGCAGAAGAGGAUAAUAAUACAUUUUUCGGGUAACAUUUGGUGAUGUAUCGAAUAUCCUUAUUGUCUGUGGAUUGUGGUAACAAGUAUUGUAGUAUUUUACUUGUCUUUCUUGACUGAAAUAUAUUAAAUUUGUAAGUAGAUUUCUAGUUUCUUCCUAAUAUGUUUAUUUUAAAGCAACUUUCAAAAAACGGUUGAGUUUUUUAUAACUUUUAUUUCUGCAAUAAAAGCUGUAAAAUGUGAAAACCGAAAGGUAAGUCGAUUCGGAGAAAGAGCCUACACGGCUAAUAUCUCCAUAUAAACCGUGAGGAAAAGAAGAAGAACCGAGACGUAGUUUCUUAUUCGUAAAAUACAUUUAUACCUGAUUUUCUUGUUUUAAAAAUCGUAGGUUUAAACCCAGCUGUAAUUCUAUUGCGAGAAAUAUCCAAGGAAGAAUUUUUAAAAUUAUUAGUUUAAUGUUGAAAUAAUUAAAUUUCACUUAGAAAAUAAUAUAUGACGUAAUUUUCGUAUUCGAUAUCAUUCGUGUCUUUUUGUUACAGAUUCAUUACUCACCAUUCAAGAGCAUUUAUGUGUACUAAAUAAA
This is a long non-coding RNA of Centruroides sculpturatus (bark scorpion), 865 nucleotides long. RefSeq lists it as uncharacterized. The record is from RefSeq and is a predicted model, not a curated record. Lineage: Eukaryota; Metazoa; Arthropoda; Arachnida; Scorpiones; Buthidae. The transcript has 3 exons.